UCAUUCCCGAAAAUAAACACAUCUAAAUCUCCGCUCUCUCCAUUAUUGCCCAUUUCUAUUUUGCCAUUCUUCAUCAUGUGUGAGAAACUUAAUUCCAUAUUCGUUCCUCUGCCUCAUCCUUUUUCGAGAUGGAUCACAUGAACUCCUCCAACGCUGGCGAACUCAUAAAGCACGAGGGUUUCAUCGACAGUAGCUUCCUCCUCAAUUGCAAGGCUAGGAACGGUUAUGUGAUUGUGUAACCCUACUUGAUUGCGUAGUAGGUUGGGUAGCAGUUCGUCUUUGCGUAGCACUUCGCGUCUUCCAUUCUCGAGUUCUAUAUUCUUGUUGUCUUCCUCUGUCAUUGCAUCUUGAAGAGGUAUCACCGGAUUGUUUGAGAGAUUGGUGUCCUUCCUUUCGGAGAAUUUGAAGGUGUUUCGGAAGACAGAGUUUCAAUCUUGUCGCUGGGUGAAGUCGCUGCACAUUGUUCCUCAAGUGCUCAAUAUCAAUAUGUUUCAGAAACAGCCCAACGGCAAUGACGAGGUAAAUCAUCCGUUUCAGAACCGUCAUUCCAGAAUGCUAAAACAUUGUUCGUGUUAUUGUGCUUUUAUUACUUUCCAAAAUGGCACUCUUUUAUAAAAACAUUUUAUCUUUCAUAAAAAGUACAUUGUAUUCAUUGAGAUCUAAUGACAAUCUUUUAAAUUUGA
Molecule: long non-coding RNA, 683 nt
Organism: Vigna angularis (adzuki bean)
Lineage: Eukaryota; Viridiplantae; Streptophyta; Magnoliopsida; Fabales; Fabaceae
Exons: 3
Source: RefSeq, a predicted model, not a curated record